Molecule: ribosomal RNA, 462 nt
Filed under: uncultured bacterium
Lineage: Bacteria
Description: partial 16S ribosomal RNA
Rfam family: Bacterial small subunit ribosomal RNA
Source: RNAcentral
GAUGAACGCUGACAGAAUGCUUAACACAUGCAAGUCUUUGGUGAAGCUGUGCUUGCACAGCCUAGCCAAGGCGGACGGGUGAGUAACGCGUAAGGAACUUGCCCUGCAGUCAGGGAUAACAGACGGAAACGACUGAUAAGACCUGGUAAAGUCAGGCGGACUCAUGUCCAGCCUGAUGAAAAGAGAUGCUGCAGGAGAGCCUUGCGUCCUAUUAGCUUGUUGGUGGGGUAACGGCCCACCAAGGCAAUGAUAGGUAGCCGGCCUGAGAGGGUGGACGGCCACAAGGGGAAGGAGAACCGGCCCUUACUCCGCCGGGAGGCAGGAGUGGGAAAUAUUGGACAAUGGGGGCAACCCUGAUCCGAAAUUUCGUGGGGCAAAAAGAAGUUUUGCGGAUUUAAAAGUGCUUUCAAGAGGGAAAAAAAAAAUGACGGUCCCGGCAAAAAAAGCCAGGCCUAAAUACGG